CCUACGGGCGGCUGCAGUGGGGAAUAUUGGACAAUGGGGGCAACCCUGAUCCAGCCAUGCCGCGUGUGUGAAGAAGGCCCUCGGGUUGUAAAGCACUUUCAGUGAGGAAGAACGCCUGGUGGUUAAUACCCAUCAGGAAAGACAUCACUCACAGAAGAAGCACCGGCUAACUCCGUGCCAGCAGCCGCGGUAAUACGGAGGGUGCGAGCGUUAAUCGGAAUUACUGGGCGUAAAGCGCGCGUAGGUGGCUUGAUAAGCCGGUUGUGAAAGCCCCGGGCUCAACCUGGGAACGGCAUCCGGAACUGUCAAGCUAGAGUGCAGGAGAGGAAGGUAGAAUUCCCGGUGUAGCGGUGAAAUGCGUAGAGAUCGGGAGGAAUACCAGUGGCGAAGGCGGCCUUCUGGACUGACACUGACACUGAGGUGCGAAAGCGUGGGUAGCAAACAGGAUUAGGUACCCCAGUAGUC
This 465-nucleotide ribosomal RNA is filed under the name Vreelandella stevensii. RNAcentral describes it as "partial 16S ribosomal RNA". It matches the Rfam family "Bacterial small subunit ribosomal RNA", at positions 338 to 795 of the family's 1533-position model. The record is from RNAcentral. Lineage: Bacteria; Pseudomonadati; Pseudomonadota; Gammaproteobacteria; Oceanospirillales; Halomonadaceae.